RNAcentral lists this ribosomal RNA (319 nucleotides) under Escherichia coli. Its description in RNAcentral is "partial 23S ribosomal RNA". It matches the Rfam family "Bacterial large subunit ribosomal RNA", at positions 1 to 311 of the family's 2925-position model. Lineage: Bacteria; Pseudomonadati; Pseudomonadota; Gammaproteobacteria; Enterobacterales; Enterobacteriaceae. The record is from RNAcentral.
GUUGUAUAGUCAAGUAAUUAAGUGCAUGUGGUGGAUGCCUUGGCAGUCAGAGGCGAUGAAAGACGUGAUAGCCUGCGAAAAGCUCCGGGGAGGCGGCAAAUAUCCUUUGAUCCGGAGAUGUCUGAAUGGGGGAACCCACCUACUUUAAGGUAGGUAUUGCAACAUGAAUACAUAGUGUUGCAAGGCGAACGAGGGGAAGUGAAACAUCUCAGUACCCUUAGGAAAAGAAAUCAAUUGAGAUUCCCUCAGUAGCGGCGAGCGAACGGGGAUCAGCCCAUUAAGUUAUGUGUGUUUUAGUGGAACGCUCGGGGAAGUGCGA